AUUGAACGCUGGCGGCAUGCCUUACACAUGCAAGUCGAACGGCAGCACGGGAGCAAUCCUGGUGGCGAGUGGCGAACGGGUGAGUAAUACAUCGGAACGUGCCCAGUCGUGGGGGAUAACGUAGCGAAAGCUACGCUAAUACCGCAUACGAUCUGUGGAUGAAAGCGGGGGACCGUAAGGCCUCGCGCGAUUGGAGCGGCCGAUGUCAGAUUAGGUAGUUGGUGGGGGUAAAGGCCCACCAAGCCGACGAUCUGUAGCUGGUCUGAGAGGACGACCAGCCACACUGGGACUGAGACACGGCCCAGACUCCUACGGAGGCAGCAGUGGGGAAUUUUGGACAAUGGGCGCAAGCCUGAUCCAGCAAUGCCGCGUGCAGGAUGAAGGCC
RNAcentral lists this ribosomal RNA (386 nucleotides) under uncultured bacterium. RNAcentral describes it as "bacterial SSU rRNA". It matches the Rfam family "Bacterial small subunit ribosomal RNA", at positions 29 to 416 of the family's 1533-position model. The record is from RNAcentral.